AUGGAAGUGAUGAUCAUUUUCCCCCAAUGAUCUACGCUGAUUAUACCGUGCGAUUUUUUUUCUCUUUUGAGAAUCCAAGCCAGAAAUCUGAUCCAU
This is a small nucleolar RNA of Malania oleifera, 96 nucleotides long. RefSeq annotates it as small nucleolar RNA Z103. The transcript has a single exon. The record is from RefSeq and is a predicted model, not a curated record. NCBI's taxonomy places the organism in Eukaryota, Viridiplantae, Streptophyta, Magnoliopsida, Santalales, Ximeniaceae.